GACGAACGCUGGCGGCGUGCUUAACACAUGCAAGUCGAGCGGUAAGGCCCUUCGGGGUACACGAGCGGCGAACGGGUGAGUAACACGUGGGUGACCUGCCUCCUAGCUCUGGGAUAAGCCUGGGAAACUGGGUCUAAUACCGGAUAUGACUCCACGGCGCAUGUUGUGGGGUGGAAAGCCUUGUGUGGCUAGAGAUGGGCCCGCGGCCUAUCAGCUUGUUGGUGGGGUGAUGGCCUACCAAGGCGACGACGGGUAGCCGGCCUGAGAGGGCGACCGGCCACACUGGGACUGAGACACGGCCCAGACUCCUACGGGAGGCAGCAGUGGGGAAUCUUGCGCAAUGGGCGAAAGCCUGACGCAGCGACGCCGCGUGAGGGAUGACGGCC
RNAcentral lists this ribosomal RNA (386 nucleotides) under uncultured bacterium. Its description in RNAcentral is "bacterial SSU rRNA". It matches the Rfam family "Bacterial small subunit ribosomal RNA", at positions 28 to 416 of the family's 1533-position model. The record is from RNAcentral.